RNAcentral lists this ribosomal RNA (197 nucleotides) under uncultured bacterium. RNAcentral describes it as "partial 16S ribosomal RNA". It matches the Rfam family "Bacterial small subunit ribosomal RNA", at positions 328 to 539 of the family's 1533-position model. The record is from RNAcentral.
ACGCUCGACACCUACGGGAGGCAGCAGUGGGAAUAUUGCACAAUGGGGGAAACCCUGAUGCAGCAACGCCGCGUGAAGGAAGACGGUUUUCGGAUUGUAAACUUCUGUUCUUAGUGAAGAUAGUGACGGUAGCUAAGGAGCAAGCCACGGCUAACUACGUACCAGCAGCCGCGGUAAUCUGAGCGGGCUGGCAAGGC